UUCUUCUUUUUCACUUUCUCCUUCCAUUCCAUGCUCUUCUCCUCUCUCUCCUCUCUCUCUCUCUCUCUAUCUGCAUCUGUAUCUGUAUCUCUGUGUGUGCGCACUUUUCUUCAUGGGGGAAAGGGAACAGAUUGCGAAGCAGAAAGGGUUUAAUUUUGUCGAAAACGUCGCGGAUUUUGGCGGAUUGGACAACGAUAGAAAUGGCUGUGGAAGAUUUGAUGAAAAAAUUGGAAUCCUUGGGAGUUUUUGUGCGGCAAAUUAUGCCCAGCAGCUGCGGCUUCAUCCAUAUGGGAAUUGUGGCUGCGAUUAGUAUUUUUGAUGGUGCUAUCCUAGCUGAGCUUUUGCGAAGAUUUUUUUUUUUCUUUUUAAUUUUUUUUUUUUUUUAAUUUUUGACUUGUUACCUUAUACUUUAUUUUGUUUUUGAUUUGUUCUUGACCUUGUAAGACCUUUUCUUGGCCUUACAAGGCCCGUCCGCUCACCUCUCAUUUUUCUUUGGCUAUUGAUUUUGUUUCCUUUUCUCCGCCCAAUUCAUAUUCUCCUUCCUUGUCUAUCCCUCCUGAGCUAUAUAUAUAUAUAUUUAUCCAUUAAUGCAAUUGAGAAACUUAUGGUUGGUAUGGUGUUGAUUAGAUUGGAAUGUGGGUGUGUUUGUAUGGUGGUGGUGUAGAGCUUUGGAUUUUGAAAUGGAGGGCAUAUAAAGGCAGAUGUAGAGAGAGUGAGAAGACAUUUGAUCUGGUGCAAUGUAUAUGGAGUGGCCCCUCUGGUUGAGUGGUUUGGUUUAAUUAUGUGCUGUGCUGUGGCUGAGAAAGUGGUAUGGGAAUAAAUGUUGUCUGCAGUGAUGAUGAUGAUGAGAUCAGAUCAGAUCUCUGCUGAAAUGGAAUGAACUCUACCCGUGACUUUCUUUUAUCCGUCUCUUCUUUCCUCUGCCCACCUACACUGUAUUAUUGGAUCCCCCACCCCCACCCUACCCCUACCCCCAUUGUUUCGUUUAUGUUUAUGUACAUGUACAUUUGGUGAAAAAUGGCUUCUUUUGGUGUUGAAUUGAAUUAGAGCUGUUCUUGUCU
Molecule: long non-coding RNA, 1061 nt
Organism: Andrographis paniculata
Lineage: Eukaryota; Viridiplantae; Streptophyta; Magnoliopsida; Lamiales; Acanthaceae
Exons: 2
Source: RefSeq, a predicted model, not a curated record